AUCCCUUCCACGAAUCUUCUAUCUCUAUUUAUAUCCAUUUAAUAUAAUUGCUAUAACUAUUAGAAUUAAUGACUUUCAAUUCUUUCAAAGCACACAAUAUGACAAUUUUUAGGAAGACACACCCUUGGAAUUUAUUCAUAUACUUGGUCAAAUAUUAUGACCACAAUCUCCUGCGGCUUUGCUUCUGAUUUAAUGAAGC
Molecule: long non-coding RNA, 199 nt
Filed under: Elaeis guineensis (African oil palm)
Lineage: Eukaryota; Viridiplantae; Streptophyta; Magnoliopsida; Arecales; Arecaceae
Description: long non-coding RNA (EGUI_LNC016311)
Source: RNAcentral